This is a non-coding RNA of Equus caballus (horse), 10621 nucleotides long. The record is from RefSeq and is a predicted model, not a curated record. NCBI's taxonomy places the organism in Eukaryota, Metazoa, Chordata, Mammalia, Perissodactyla, Equidae.
UGUGGUAAGUUCUUACAGCAGACCUAGGAAAUGAACCCAGGCCCUGAAGGUGUGUGUGUGUGUGUGUCUUUAAAGCUUCAUAGCUUGCUAGAAAAUGUAUCAAAGUUGCUCUUUCUAGAUCAAUGUUUUCUGGCUAUACAGCAGGCCUUUUCAAUAUGGACAUUUGCAUUUUCUCCUACUUCUGGAGAGUUUUCUCUGAUUAUAGUCAUGUUUCAUGGCUUUGUCUUUCUUCCUCAGGAACUCCUACUAUAUACGUUGGAUUUUAUUUGCCUGUCUUCCAUUUCAAUCUCAUCUCUUCAAUUCUGCUUGCAUCAUCUGUUAUUUCAUGUUUGUUCUCUUGGUUGUUUAUCUGCCCUUCUUCAAUGUUGAAAUUGUUCAACGUUCAAAUCUAUUUUCCUUUGAGCACUUUGUACUUUAUUCUUCAUUUUUGAAAUGCUUUUGUAUUUUUCCUCAAUUUAUUUUUCUAGGUCAAUCAACUCUUGUUUCAUUUUUUUCUGUUUUGUGCUCAUUUAGGGCCUUAGGGUUUAAAUUUCUGAUUUGGGUUUUUUUUCUAAAUAUCUCCAAUUGUUUGACCAGAGUGACUUCAGUUUGGAAUGUUGUCGUGUAGUUUUCUUCUGCUUUGUGGUUGGUUUCGGGGGGAAAAUUUCCAUCAAUUAAACUGUUAUGAUUCUCAUUUUCUACGUCCUUCUAAUAGUAGGUCUUUAUGGAGAUAGGUGUUUUUGUUUUUUCUUUUCCUAGCAUUUUGUAGACAGAGUUCCUAACUCAAGAAUACCCUCUCCUGCCAGUGCAGUGAAGUGAAACACGUUUAGUGAACAGUAAGGAAAGAGGAGUCAUCACGUCUUCUCUCUUUCAUUUCUGCAAGAUCCUCAAUUUUCUCCUUAGUUGCUUCUUUCUCUUUGCUGCCAAGUCUCUAAGAGGCACCAUCCUUUCUUGGUUUUCCUGCUUCUCCAAGAAGCAAUGCUUUCUCGAAGCUGCUGCUUCUGGUCCUGUUGACUUUCAAGCUGCUUCUCUCUAACUGUGCUGUGAAUGUGUAACUUGGUCUUGAAAGGUACUCUUUCUCUGGGUGAUUUUGUCUAUGCUACAUCUAAUUCUUCCACGCCUCUUUACUCUUUUUCCCGGAGAUUUUAAGACUCCUCUCUCCCACACUCUGUACCCAGCUUAUAGAGAUAAGUGACAGGAGCUCUCUUGGAAUUUGGUGUUUAUUUCUUUACUUAUUGGUAAUUUGAAGUUUGUGACAUUCUCUGUCUUCUAUUAAUGCUGAAGACAGGGGUCAUGUGUGGUUUCCUUGUGCUCUUGUUGAAUUUAAGGGUUGUAUGGAGAGAUUCAAUUUCAGGGGGCUGCACAUAUCAUCCAAACCUGGAAACUCCCUUAGAUUAGUGUUUCUCGAUCUUUUUGAACCCAUUUUCUCUGUUCGUCACACGAACAUUGCAUACGCUAUGAAAAUGUUUAUAAAAUUCAAAAUAGAUAAAGAACUGAGAACAAAUCAAGGCAAUGAGAAAAAGUACCAUUUUCUCUCUAGACACAAACUUUCCCCUCCCCAGAUUCUGAUGAGUAAAGAUUUCCUCAUCCUUUCCUCCAAAUCACUGAACUGAAUAAUUUUCAGAGCCAUUGUCUUAGUCAGUUGGGGCUGCAACAACAAACUCCCAUAGCCAGGGAGGCUUACAAACAACAGAAAUUUACUUCUCACACUUCCGGAGGCUGGAAGUCCAAGAUCAAGGCACCAGCAGAUUUGGUGACUGGUGAGAACGCGCUUCUGGGUUCAAAGCUGGUCAUCUUUUCGCUGUGUCCUCACAUGGUGGAAGGGAGGAGGGAGCUCUCUGGGGUCUCUUUCAUAAGGGUAGUAAUCCCAUUCAUGAGAGGUCCACCCGGUGACCUGAUCACCUCCAAGUCUCCAUCUCCUAAUGCCAUCAUAUCGGGUGAAUAGGCUUCAACACAUGAAUUUUGGAGAGACACACACAUUUCGUCUCAGCAACCAUAAUGUUGGAUCCGGAUAUUUUGUCACAGUUGUUUUGAUGCAGAAACACUUUAAUACCUCUGAAUUUAUCCCUUUUGUAAUACCUUUGUCCUCUCUUUUUCUUACUUAACUUUUUACAGUCUGUUCUAUCCAUUUUAAACAGUAUCGGCUCACACUCAAUAUCCAUUGUCAAUGAUAUUAUUCAUUAUAUCAACGAUAUAAUCAUAUGAGAAAGUGAAUAACAAAUAAUGAGAGAGCUGCUCCUUCCCUCUUCCUUCUGCUCUUAUUUAGUGGCAUUCUUUCCAUUUUGCCAGAACGUGUGAUGUUUAUAUACCAUUAUUUCGAUCAUGUCCCCAUCCUUGUUUUAGUCCUCGCUACACAGUUAAGUAUAUUGAAUUUUCAUCAUCAAUUCUUGUGCUGCAAUUUCCCCAGUUGCCUUUUGCUGAAUGCAGCUCAUCCUGGAAGAGAGUUCUCUAGAGGGGCGUGUGUGUCUGUGGUAUUUAUUCCCUGCAGAGUCUUCAAGGUGAGUGAAAGGAGGAGCCUCAGAGAAGCGUUGCUUCUGGACGAGAAUAAGACACAUAGAGAAGCAGUGGUGCCCCUUGUAGACAAUGAAGAAAAAGAAGGAGGCAAGAGGGGAAAGUUUGAGAAUCUUGAUGAAAUUAAAGAAAUACACUUUUACAUUAUAAUGGCCACCCUAUAAUGAAAAAAUCUGUUUUUAUGAUCCAAUUGUAAUUUGAAUGUCCGAAUGUUUCCCAGCCUGUAGGUACAAAUGAUGCUAUGUUAAAGCACAGACUAGCUGUCCUACACUUGAAAGUCCAACCUGUGCAAGCUCAGGAACUCAACAGCUCAUCCUCCUGCCACCACGACCACCCAUUUUCAAGGUCUCCUCCACCCCCAGUACCUUAGAUUCUCUGCUUUGUGUAUCAGUCCACUAAGGACACUUCUUCCAUCCCUGGCCUUGGAGCUCCUACUUCCCUGGGCCCGCUGCCGGCUCCGCUCCCUUGCUACUUUUAGCCAAAUUCUCAUUCCUUGGCUAAGGCUGCCGCACGCUCUACUGAUGCAAUUCUGCUCCAGAAUGUCUGGGAACUCCUACUGGCCACCUGCCUCUGCCCUCUCCAGUGGUUCUCAUCAUUCUACUUGAUCUGCCACCCGGGCUCAGGGCCCUGCCCAUCCAACCACUAAGAAACAGCCAGGGAAACGAGAAACCUCCGUUUAAUGAGGGUGACAGGGUCCUGAGCUGGCAGCUCGACAGGCCCUCAGCCACUGUCUCCUCAGGUGGUUAGGUGUCUUUAUGGGCUCCAGCGAUAGCCUUGAUCCUACUGAGAAUAGCUCCUGCUCCUUUCAGAGUCUUAUUGGCUCCAGCUGGUCCCAUCCUCAGGCUCAGUUAUCUUCCCAGAAUCUAGUCUCCCACACCGUCUUCUAGCUCUUUUCCCAGGAGGCUUCUCAGCCCCAGUGUUAAUCCAUUUGGGCAAAUAGAUGCCCUGGAAGGGAGCACUCACACACCCGGCACAUGUUUUGGUUCUGAGAAAACAUCUGCCCUCCCAGCCCCCUUGCCCAGUUCAUGAACUAGGAUACGUUCUAGGAGAGGGCAGGAAUAUCUCAAGAAAGCACAAAAGCUGAAUGGUUUGUUAGUCCAUUUUAGAAGGAUGUUGAAACACACCUAAUUUCGAAAUUAGAGUCGAAAUGUCAUGCAUCCCAUGAGUCUGGUGGGAAUUCCAGUGCAAACUGGGCUAUGACGGAAAUUACAUUGCUGACCCUGAAUGAAGCUAAUUAGAAGCAUCUCAAUAAUCAAAAGUUAAUUUAAUUCCCCCCGGUAGUUUUAUGAGGCAUUUAAAAAGUUUGUUUGAGUCUAUGUUGUUAAAAAUAAAAGUAACUACCAGCGGGUUCUGAUCCCCUUCAACUUCUACCAGAAAGGAAUACAGUAUUUUCUUAGGUCCUUCUAAGCCCACUCAAUAAUAGAAUUAACCUUGCCCAAUAAAAGAUGGCCCAGGAUCAAGGGGAAAAAAAGACCUACUAAUUUUGGCUCCAUAGAACUUGGGGUCACAUGUUUGAGCUCUGGGAGCCUCAGUGGCAAAUCCUUGAAUUAAUGUAAGUCUAAGGGGAGGAUGGGUAAUUUGGAACCAGUGCUCCGUAACACGGGUCUUAGCUAUUUUACAUAUAGAUUAUAUGGUUGAUAAAACUGAGCACACACAAUGAGCCCCAUGCUUUCAGAGCAUUAUCUUAUUUAAUUCUUACCACAUCCUUGAGGGUAGGAUGUUAAUACCCCAUUUUAUACACAAAGAAACCACCUCUCAUAGAUAUUAAGAGAUUGUCCAAAGUCAUCAGCAAGUAAGAGGGAACUGAACUCAGGUUUAUCUCACUUCAAAACCUAACCUUUUCCCACUGCACGAUGUUGCCUCCCACACACACUGGAGUGUAUUGGAUGCAGAUUCCAUUCUCUGGAUAUGCUUACCUUGGAUUUCUUUACUUCCUUUGGUAUUCUUGGCAAAGAAUGGUUUCCUUGAGCUGUAUGGAUGUUCAUUUAAAUAGUGCUCAGUAUCCAUUCCCACCUCCUUCUAGAGGGCCUUUCUCUCCUGCGGAAGGUGGAAAUCUAGAACCACAUUUCUUAGUCUUUCUCAAAGCUUGGCUUCUACCUAUGAAUUAGGUUCAGUUAUAUGCACCUGCGUGAGAUUAGAAGUCAGAAUUGAAGCAGAAGCCACCUUCCCACGGAUUUGGUUGUAACCAUUGGCAAACGUGAUUGUGAGACAUUGGGACUUUUUAAAGCCGAGUCUUAAUGUUCAGUCACUAAUUUAAUGGGUGUCAAGAGACAGAUAGGGUGGGAGUGACAAGGCCUUCCGGAUUCUCGGGUGUCAGCUAAAGCAGCGUGUUCCCACCGUCAAUACUUCCAGUGACGGCCUCCUGACUUCCGACCUUCUUGCUGGCGGCAGAGGCAGAAGGAACCUCCAGCCUUCCCGACAAUGUUGUAAACACCUGCUUCUCUCUAUUCGAUGCCUUUCUGCUUAAAAUAACUCGUGUGGUUUCUGUUUCCUGCGACUGAACCCUGCUGAUACACAGUUUUCCCUCUUUCCCACUAACUGCUGGUCUUUGCAACUGCCAACCCUUCAAGUGGUGUUUUCAGCUCUAAAAUGAAAGCUUUGAAUAUCUCCAUUGCUCCCUAUCUCCCUUAUCCGGUUUUAUUGUUCUCCAUAGUGUUUAUUGUCACUCCAAGAUUCCUUAUUGGCCCAAUGUCCACCUCUCCUAGAAUUUAAGCUCCAUUGGAAUAAGGGCUUUGUUUUGUUCACUUCUGUAUGGCUCUGUGACACUUAGAACAGUACCAGCAAACAGUGGGAACUGAAUAGAUAGUGUCGAAUGGAUGAAUCUACUUUUCCUAACAGAAACUAAUACUGUAUUAAUGCAUUAGUAAUAGAUUCAUCAAUAAAUACCCUCAAUAAUGCCUCCUCAUGAAGCUUUGACCCAGGUUUAGAAAAUCCCCAAAGAACACAAAAUGGCACACAUUGCCUGGACCGAGGCCUUAAAUUUAGGGUGACCAACUCCUCCCCGUGUGUCUGAGACUUUCCUAGUUUUAGCACUCAAGACCCACAUCCUGGGAAAGCCUUCAGUCCUGGGCAAACCAAGAUGAUCGGUUACCCUGAUUAAAUUCAUGAGGUGCUAAAUAAAGGCAUUUGAAUUAUAUUACUUUAAAUCACUCUUGCAAAUAAAAGUUUGCAAACACGAAUCUUUUAAACCAUCCUGCAGUUUCCUUCCCAUGUCACAGCCAUGCUGCAAAUGAUCCCUGAAGCCAUCAGGUGAAAUUUGAGCAAUAUUUCAAACUGUAUUUUACGUUUUUACUAAAGUUCCUUUUCUGCCUAUACCUUGAACAUGUUAGGGUUCAGCCUGUGAAAUCUCUUCUGUAUUUCCUAGUUACGUUAAAAAUACGAUACAGGAACUUCCUAGAGAAAAGAUGCUACAGCAUCUAUAGUUAGAUCCUAGAUCCUGCAGAGAAGGCGACAGAAGUCUAAGAUUCUAAUUUCGUUGGGAGACAGAAGAGUAAACUGCGGAGAUCUAUCAGUGUUAACGCUAAGAGCGAAUAAAGACUUAGCCUUCACCAACCACAAGACUCACCCUUCUAGCUGCUAACAUUGUUCUGAAGCUUCAGACAGCGAGUUCAAGCAUAACUUGCAUAUUCGAAGUGUCAACGCCUUUGAACUGGUGCAUUAGAGAGAAUUUGGAGAAUAGCAACAUUCUCAGAUCUAACCCAAGUUCCCGGCAGUUGGAACCUCUUGGGGAUUCUUGCUCCCUGAUGAUUCAUGUGGAUGGACGUUUAGGUGUUUAGAUUUUAAAAUGUUCUUCUCAACCGAAACUGAAACUUAAAGAGAUGCUAUCACCCUGGAAUUAUUUUUGCACCUGCGAAAACAGUUGUGUUACUAAAAUCAACUGUUUUCGCACCACGGGCUGUUGCAUGUGACGGUGGUGUUUCGCCAGCCACGUGCGUAAGGGGUUAAGCGAGCGGCAGUUGCGCAAUCCCAGCACAAUACAUUCCACAGAGCCAGCAAUCUCGGUUUGAACAUGUUUAUAAAUCAGAUACAGAGAAACUGACCAAACCUCCAAAGGGCAGCUUGUUUGGAGGAACAGAAGUGCACGUGCUGCUUUUCUUCUUAAGAAAUUGGUCAAAGGACUCCAGAAAAUGCUCUUUUCAGACUGUGUGAACUCUGAAAUGUCCCACGUCUUGAUCCCUCCACAGCAUGACUUAAGUUCUUGGACAGACUUCACAUUUUUACUAAAACUGGCUAUUAGGCCUGGCCACUUCCUUCCUUCAGGCACUAUUUUCAGAAGCAGAGACACGGAGCCCCUGCACCUGUUGUUAGUGUGGCCACAGACGGAAACCUCUGCAAAACCCUCAUCUGUCUGCACAGUAGGUCCAGCGACGCCCAAGUGGAGGCAAGGGACGGUAUGAGUGUCCAGAGGGGCUGGUCAGGGAGCACAGGCGAGGCAGCCUCAGGAGAGAACAUCUCACCCACUAUCUUGUGUCUCCUGACCCGAUUCGCACAACCUGGGCACUCCUCUCCAGGUCUAUGACUGGCCACGUUCCUAAGGGGCGCAGCCAAGGGGCCCAGCCCUGUUCUUUUGACACAGGUCUGGUGGAUCCCAGGGGAGGAGGAGGAGAUCCUGGAGGUGACCGCCUAAUAUGUAGCUGACCUCAUCCCACACAUUGAGACGCACAGGUGACUGAGACACAGCCUCGAGAAGCUUACAGUCCUGUGGACUGCGAUUCCAUGGGGAAGGGGCUACUGCAGCCUGGAAACAGAUGGAGAGGUGGCUCCCAGCCCCCUUGGCUGGUCAGGUUCAGGUCCGGCUGGCUCUGAUCCUCCUGGCCGUGUUUAUGCCACAGGAUGAAAUUUCAGGAUGAAGUGGCUGCGCAGCACCAGGUACAAACCAGCAUCUAACUCCCUUCUCUUUCCAAACCAAAAACUGGUCCUGAGACACUGGAUAGCUGACACUGCAGGCCAGCGACCUCUCUUGGCUCGCUGUUUGCCACUCUCUUCCUAGCAUGCUGUUUGUCUUUCUUCAGUAGAAAUUUGGCAGAAUCAUGGAGUUCUUAUUUUCACCUCUUAUCUGGGUCUGUUUGUCCAUAGCUAGAAUAACAGGGGGCUUUUAAAACCUAAUGAAUUCAACGGUCAAAGAAUGGCCUCAGGCAAAUGGAAUGUCUGAUGUUCCAUCUCUCUGGCUGAGGGCAGGAGGCCAUUUGGGGCUUAACAUCUUUUUCAUUCACAUGCAAAACACUUCCAAAAGCACGAGUUUGAAAACUUAGAAUUUGAAACCAAAUCACUAAUCUUCCUCAUUCUUAACAUUUUUAGCUCAGCAGUGGUUACUUGAUAGCUUAAUACACGUUAGAUUUUGGGGGGAAAAGGAUACUAUUUUGGGCUUUUGAUGUCCAACGGAUUUGUGUGUAUUUCUUAUCCAUGUAUUAUUUCUUCUUCUCUGUAAAUAUAUUUAAAUAGACUAAACACCUCCUUUGGCAGUUACUUCAUCAAAACUUGGAAAAAACGCUCUGGUUGAGCAUGGAUUUAUUUAGAGACUUGCAAAGGUGUUCUGGGUUCCCUCAACCUGACUGGGCAGAAGUCCCUGUCACUGGAUUCACAGCUCACAGCUGUAUAACGCUCCUGGUUUUCAAGGGAGUGAUCCAGAUGCUGGCUGCAAAGAAUGAAGAGAAUUGUUCCAAAGGUUGUUCCACUGAACUUGCUACUUAAAUACACACACACACAACCAAGCCCAUCGUAAAAGCAUAUCAGCUCACACAGAUGCCAGCCGAAUGAAACACGUGUUCCUAGCACUUCCUCUAACUGACAGCAAGGUCUGAGGCUUGAGUCCACGAGAUGCCCCAUCUCAUGGGUUUUUCUUCCUCAUGUCAACGCCAGUCAUUGUGUAACCAGCUUGUUUUCCUAUACCACUGGCAAGUAAUACUUAGAAACAAUAUAGCCUUUCUCAGAAAUAAUUUAAACAUGAUUCUGUUUUUCUUGGCCUUUUGACAAUGGAUGAUUAUCUUUAGUACUUCUAUCGGGCAUUUCCAAAUCCCGAAUUUUCUUUCACCCGGUAAGAUCUGUAAGUCUGGUUACAACCACAGAAGUGAAGGAAGCAAGUGGGGAUGGUGCCUGGGACCCGUAGGCCACUGAAAGGGGCAAGAGGCGAGCUGGCUGCCCCAUCUGUGUUCCGAAGAGGGAAGGGAGACAGAGCAGGAUCCCCAGGCCAUGUGACCCAGGGCCACUUGCUGUGACUGUCUUUUUAAUUUAUUUUAAAACACAAUGACUAAAUGUGGUGUAUUGGUUUGAUAUUAUUUCAAACCCACCUGUUUGACUCAAGCGAAGUUGCUUUAAUCCACUUGUUUAUGACAAAGACAAAUAAAUGAGGUUGCAGUAAAGCUGUUUUGAUACACGAAUGAAGCAAGUCGAAUCGAGAUGUCAUCAUCUCCUCUGUUGUCAUUGAUUAAAAUUCAGCAGCUCAGCUGACGAUGAACAUGAGGAACCCUACUGGGGGCUGAUCACUAAGAACAUGCGGAAAAGCCAGUAUGGCAAGGGGACAUUUAGACUAAAAAUAUCCAGAGUGUGUAAGAAUUAUUCAAGUUGUGGUCUGGGCAAGACGACGCUUUGCUGGUCUAAAUAAAUCCUAUGAAGACCUGGAGGCAUUAGCUCCUACCAUGGUAAGGGCACACUCUUAUUGGUAGUGGCCACAAACCACACAGCGGCCCCAUGAAGGAGACCAGCCUGCCUGCCAACACUGGCACCGUCGUUUCCUAGCAACGUGCUCUAGCAACAGAGGACUUUUAUUUUGCACUGGCAGCUGGAGGUCAGCUCUUGCUUGGUUUAGCCAUCGCCUACUUGUCCGAAAAAGUACACCUCGAUUAAAUUUGGACUUUAUUCCUUUUAUCUCCCCUUGCCUGGAACAACAGUGUGACUAACCUCUUAUUGCUCUGGAGUAUGUUCUUUCUUUACUGGCUUAUUAUGAGACAUUAUCCUGUGUGCUAUUGGCUUGUGAAACUAUUAUAAAUCCCACAGUGAACCUGCGUUAAAUAACAUAUUGGCAGGGACAGUCUCAGUCUUUGAGCUUAAAUUCGCCCACCCCAAACAAAACAUCACAUAAAAGGAUUUAGAUAUAGGUCACGAAGUACUGGACUCGUUUAUUUAGGACCUGGGAGAAGGGUAGGUCCAGUUAAAAAACAAAAUUUAACCGAGUAAAUUUGAAGAUCUAAUCGGCUUUAUUAAAUGGUUCACCAAUUGGGCAGCCUCUCAUCUAGUAAGUAGAAGGGGCUCUGAGGUGUCAUACAGAAUGCAAGGUUUUUAUAGGAAGAGGGGUGGGGAAAGGGAGCUAUUAGCAAAAGACAGGAUUAGUUUUAGGCCAGGCUGUCUCCUCUUGGGGGAAGGGACUGGCAGGGGGCCUUACCACCAGAUUGCCUCUUCUUCUAGGGCUUGGAGAGGGCCCACCUGACGGAUUACCUUACUGUUUCUAGACCAGAAAAUUCCACACUGGUUGAUGAAGAUUAUAUUUCCGGGAGGGGCUGAAACUGCAAUUACAUCAGGAAUCAAAUCUAGGUUUGGUAGCACGGGCUUUAGCACGAGUGACGCCAUUUUGGGCCUGUGGUUUUCUUUUUAACAGUCUUAACCCAAGAGCAUGGUGCUAAGGAAGCCGGGAGCAUCUCUUUCCUCCUCGUCACUCCUCUUUUCACUGAGAAAGUGGGCCUUUCCCUUGAAACUGAGAGGUAGGAGGUACGCAGCUGAGUCUUGGUAUCCUGAUUUUACAGACAUCAUGGAAGAUGGAGAGUGGCGACAGCUCCAUCCCGUGCACACCUGGAUGCCUGAAGAAGGGAACUCACGUGAGACACUCAGCAGCGCUCCUGGUUCAAGGUGAACACUCAGGAGAGGAAGCCAUUCGCAUCCUCACAGAAGGAACCCUCUGGGGUUUCUUGCGGUCAACAAGGGAAAACGUUUCGGUCCCCAAGAAGAAACGCUACUUUGUCAGUCCUGUCUGGUGUUCUAAAGCAGACACACACAAAGCCAGGCAUGGCGCCCAUUAAAAAUUUAACUAUAUAUCAUAUUCAUUUAUUAUCAAUCCACAGGAUAAUUUGAUUGCUACAUGAGCUCAUAAAAGCUUUUCCACCUUUACAAAAUUAAAAAAAAAAAAAAUGUGCCACAAGGA